Molecule: long non-coding RNA, 567 nt
Organism: Oreochromis aureus
Lineage: Eukaryota; Metazoa; Chordata; Actinopteri; Cichliformes; Cichlidae
Exons: 3
Source: RefSeq, a predicted model, not a curated record
UCCUGUGUUUGGAAAGAGUUCCAGCUUCAUCACGGAGUUUCUCUCGGUUUGUGGGCUCAUCUAAAGGAAAACUCCUUACAUUUCUUGGUCCUCCGAGCCGGAUCAAUUUAACACUUUUGUGUGAUCCUACGGGAAAACCUCAUCGAGUCCUGACGUCGUGAGAAGCCCGCGCUGAAGUCUGUCGACAGCUCCUGUCUAGGUACAGGACAAAAGACCAGAGACGUGAAUUCGGGUUCUGGCCAGCGUUUUUAGAAGUGGUGCACGACGGUGGGGGACGGUGGGGGUCGAUGAGGCGGACCUGAGAGACCGGCAGUGAAUCAGCAACCAGUAUCUUGCAGGUUGAAGGCAGGUGAUUGGAUCCUGAUAAGGGUGCUCCAGAGGAAAAAUGGGAGCUCACCCCGUUGGGAAGGACCCUACCAAGUACUCCUGACCACACCAACAGCCUGCAAAAUAGCAGAAAGACCGUCCUGGAUUCAUCAAAGCCACUGCAAAAAAGGGAGUGACAACCUAGACGUUUAGACGCCGACACCCCUAACUCCUGGUGAUCUACUUCUCGCCGGUAGUCUA